RNAcentral lists this transfer RNA (87 nucleotides) under Lysobacterales bacterium. RNAcentral describes it as "tRNA-Leu". It matches the Rfam family "tRNA". Rfam says of the family: Transfer RNA (tRNA) molecules are approximately 80 nucleotides in length. Lineage: Bacteria; Pseudomonadati; Pseudomonadota; Gammaproteobacteria; Lysobacterales. The record is from RNAcentral.
GCCGGAGUGGCGAAAUUGGUAGACGCGCUGGAUUCAAAAUCCAGUUCUGGCAACAGAGUGUCGGUUCGAGUCCGACCUCCGGCACCA